Molecule: long non-coding RNA, 2633 nt
Organism: Bombus huntii
Lineage: Eukaryota; Metazoa; Arthropoda; Insecta; Hymenoptera; Apidae
Exons: 9
Source: RefSeq, a predicted model, not a curated record
GUAAUGGUAAAUAUAACGACUUAUUUUACGAGUCACUUGGAUUAUCAAUAGAUAUGGCCUACUUUACAACAUGCGUGUAUAUAUAUAUUGGUAAACAUUGGGUGAAAGUUAUGUGCAUAGUUAUAAAUGUCAUUUGUUUAUAGGUGGAUAGCAUCAGUGUUUGGUCUUGUGCGUAGUAUACAAGUACUUCAUAGUUCUACGGCGCGGAUCACUGUUCCUUGAACUAAAAAGUUUCUUUCAAGGUACUCCGCAUAUGAAAUGAGUGGGUGGGUCGUCACAUAGGUCCUGGUCGUCUGGAUCUAGGUUAUCGAAACAGUCUUGACAAAGAUGUCCGUUAUCUAAAUGGUAGACAGAACGUAUCAACCGAACACAGAGGCAAGACUGGACAUCCUCCGUCGCUUCCAGAUCAAAUGCGGGUACAAGCCCGUCUGAGUCCUCUAUGUUAGGGUUGAUGAACUCGCCACCUGUUCUGUACAUACAUAUGAGAACAGUUAAUAUAUAUAUUUUAUAAAUUUUAUAGGUUUUGUUCGGACCUAUCCUGUAUGUGGUAUAAUAUAAUAUGUUAUGGUUAUGUUAGUUGUUAUUACAUAUAUUUUCCUUAUCUCUCUCCCUUCUCUUUUUUUUCUUCUUUUUUUUAUAUUUUUUGUUCAGUACCUAGCAUUGCCAUUAUAAUGCUGUAUUACAUUGUAUUGGCUAUUAUAUGUAUUGGGGUGCGUAUGUGUGGGGUGCGCGUGACGAAUUUUCAACAUGGUCGCUUGCGUGUAUCGUUUAUUCUACUCUUUCGAUGCUGCAUCACUUACCUGGAUCGUUCCCGCAACAUCAUCCGAUUCUUUGAUAUGCCUUAAAUACUUACUACGGUUGUCUUCAAUCGUCUUAUAUCUGUGGCCAUAAAGGUACUGUUUAGUUUAUUUAAUUUAAUAUGUGUAUAAUGCAUUGUGCAUGCGACCGCUAUUGUGCAUUACAAAAUCUGUUUCUACAUGUUAGAUAUAAUAAUAUAACAAUACUACGUAGGUUAAUACAGUAUACUAUCCUUUUACUCCGGUUAUAUUUAUUACUAACUCUCAAUUAAUCUAUCUUAAUUAUUUUCUAACCACUUUCUAUACUUAUCAGCUAUUUUAUUUCUUCUUAUUAAUCUGCAAAAUUCAUGCAUGUACACUUCCUUGUAUGGUGAUUGAUUGUUCACGAGAUAAGUUGCACUUUCACUGUUUUAAUUAUUCGUUGAACUAACACGUUUUACAUUCAAACAGUAAUUGGAGCACUCGUAAUAAUCUUCCUUUUCCUUUUAGGUUUCCGCUAUCUGUGUUAUUCGACGAACAGUGUCGCGCUUCCGCAGUAUUGUUAUAACAUUUAGUAACGUUGUAUUUUGCAUUAAGGCAAUUGAAGUUAAUUCGUUCAUUUAUUUUCAGCUGGCUGUUGUACAUGGUGUUCCGCAAACAGGGAUCCAUAACCUAUUUUGCACGUAAACCUUCUUGUAUGAUGAUUACUUGUUCACAAGGUUCUACAAUUCUAAUCCUUCAACGCUGAGUCCUUUACUUGGAACGGUUACAUGGUGCGCGUUUGGUAUCUUCUGGUUCUUCGUUACAUGCCUAACACUUAUCAAGACUACUUUUACUUAUCCUAGAAUUACCGCUUCGUCAACGUUGGAUUAUUUGUUAUGGCGUCACAAAUUUUUCCUUGAUUAUCCAGUUUCCUGUUGUCGUCUCGACUGUUUCGGUAGUAUCUGGUUCAGUAUUCCGUAAGUAUUCACUUAAGAUUGGUAGUAGGCUUCUUGUAACUGCGUCCGCUUUAAUGUAUAUCUUCCGAUGUUAUGAUUGGUUACCUCGGUAUAUAUUACCUUCGAUAUCUUCAUACCGUCGUAUAUUAUGUUUGCAAAGUUGGAUCCAUAGUCCAUUCUCGUGGAGCUUCUGCGUACACACUUCCUUUAACGAUGAUUGGUUGCAUACAAACCUCGUUAACUUAUAAGUAGUAUCGACUGCGAUUCUUCGUACACAUUUACUCCAAUUUGGUAGUUGGUUUCUCAUCACUGCGUUGACUCUUGUAUAAACUUCUUUGAUCUGGCUGUCGUAGAUUAUGUUCUACGGAUAUGGACACAUAACCUGUCUUCGCACAUACACUUCCUUCUAUGAUGAGUAAUUAUUCACGAGGUACUUUUCACUUCCACUGUUUUGUUACCACUAUCUGCAGUAUUCGACAAGCAGUGUUGUUCCAUAUACUACUGUACUACGUUGUCUUUUGAAAUCGUUCUUGUGGUCUGUUUCGAUUGUGUUAGUUUUAACUUGUUCGAGUGUAUUGUUAGUGGAAUCCCUUUUACUUUAAUCUUGACGUUUCGUGUGUGGAUUCUGACAAUAGUGCCUGGUUUAUUGAAGUGUGUUAAUAUGCCUAGGUGUUUUAUAUAUUUUAUAUCUAGUUGUAUAUAAGAUAUAUUUUGUUUAUUGUGGUUUUGUAUGUCCAUAUUUGCUGUAUAUUAAAUUGCUUGAUAUUUCCUGUUUGUUAUAAAGGUGUGUAUUCCUAUCGUUCCAUUCCUUUUUCCUUUCCUUUGAAUUAUUCAUGAAGUUAUUACGAGAUUUGAUUAAAUUGUCGAAUUGUAGGUUAUCCUGAUUGAAUAUAGUAUUAUGUCGUGAUUUAUUAAUUAA